Limulus polyphemus (Atlantic horseshoe crab) is the source of this 326-nucleotide long non-coding RNA. RefSeq lists it as uncharacterized. The record is from RefSeq and is a predicted model, not a curated record. The transcript has 3 exons. Lineage: Eukaryota; Metazoa; Arthropoda; Merostomata; Xiphosura; Limulidae.
GGUUAGUCUUGAAUUUGAGAAAACAAUAGUCAGUCCUGGAAGCUCGACAGCAAUCAAGCUAACAGCCAGUCCAUUGUCACUUUGUGGAGUUGGCGCUGUUGAUAAAAGUGUCCACUUACUGAAAGAAGAUAAACAGCUUAGUGAAGACCAGAUAAUUGGUGCUUUAAAAUCGUAUGACAUUGCAGGCUACCACUACCCUCGUCAGACCACUUCAGGAUAUACAUAUUGUCAAAAUAAAGGAAAAGCUGAUGGUGAAAGAAGAUUAAUCGAAUCAUCUCAAAAACUCUCUCCUUCUGAAUAUGUAGAUGCUAUCCAAGCCUUUGAGG